This 438-nucleotide ribosomal RNA is filed under the name uncultured bacterium. RNAcentral describes it as "bacterial SSU rRNA". It matches the Rfam family "Bacterial small subunit ribosomal RNA", at positions 954 to 1392 of the family's 1533-position model. The record is from RNAcentral.
AUGGGAACGCGAAGAACCUUACCUAGACUUGACAUCUUCUGCAUUAAUCGUAAUGGAUGAAAUCCCUUCGGGGACAGAAUGACAGGUGGUGCAUGGUUGUCGUCAGCUCGUGUCGUGAGAUGUUGGGUUAAGUCCCGCAACGAGCGCAACCCCUAUUAUUAGUUGCUAACAUUAAGUUGAGCACUCUAGUGAGACUGCCCGGGGUUAACCGGGAGGAAGGUGGGGAUGACGUCAAAUCAUCAUGCCCCUUAUGUCUAGGGCUACACACGUGCUACAAUGGUGGGAACAAAGAGAUGCAAUACCGCGAGGUGGAGCUAAACUCAAAACCCCAUCCCAGUUCGGAUUGUAGGCUGAAACUCGCCUACAUGAAGCUGGAGUUGCUAGUAAUCGCGAAUCAGAAUGUCGCGGUGAAUACGUUCCCGGGUCUUGUACACACCG